This is a non-coding RNA of Rattus norvegicus (Norway rat), 454 nucleotides long. The record is from RefSeq and is a predicted model, not a curated record. Lineage: Eukaryota; Metazoa; Chordata; Mammalia; Rodentia; Muridae.
UUUUCAAACCCUCCAGACUUCAAUGCCCACCCUUCUUCCUGAUGCUCGGAAACAAAGAACCCCAUCUUGAUCCCUGACAGCAGCAUUGUUCAGAGCCAGUUCACUCACCCCAGGGUUUCAACGGUUGAACUCAGCUCUUCCGGCUUGGCUACAGAACACCUCUACCUGAUAACCAUCUUCCUGUCCCCUUUACGUCAUAUUUCCAACCAACAGUUUCCACAGCAGAAAGAUGUUUCCGGCGAACAGCUACACACCCACCACCCAACAGUUCUGCAAUGAAUCACUCUACAUUAGCUCACUUUGACAGAUGUGUCUGAGGUAGAUCCGACAGCUGGCCAGUGAAGCCUCUGUGAAGGGAAGCCCAUCUGUGACUUUACUCUCCUAAGCACCUCCAAACCAUUCUCAAACAACGUCGUCUCACUUUUAUUGUAAAAGGCAUGCCGUGUUAAAAGGA